This 1013-nucleotide long non-coding RNA is filed under the name Carica papaya (papaya). RNAcentral's name for it is "long non-coding RNA (CPAP_LNC001012)". Lineage: Eukaryota; Viridiplantae; Streptophyta; Magnoliopsida; Brassicales; Caricaceae. The record is from RNAcentral.
UUCUGCAUCACCAAGUAUCAAGAAUGUAGAGACUAUUUGAUACAUGUCCUUUAACAACAUUCUGUUUCGUCAUAGGAGUCUACUCACAUAAAUCAAAUUGAAAAUAAGUUUUGGUAGACUUAAUACAGAUAACAGGACAAUAGAUGAGAUUGGUUUACGGUCUCAGAACCCUCAAUGUUAUAGGUUGACCGAUCAGAAAUGGUUACAGUAGAAUAUGUUUUAUGUGAUCGAAAACUAAAAAAUAUAUUAUGAUUACCUAUCAUGUGAUCUGUAGCACUAGAAUCAAUCAGCCAUUUGUUUAAAUAGGAGAUAAGAUAGUUUUUACCUGAUUCAUUAAUGGUAGACAAUUUCUUCAAAGAUUCCUAAUAUUGAGAGAACUUAGCAUACCUGUCAGCUAAAAUUAUAACUAUUUUCUCAGAAAAAGAGUUAGCAAUAGUAGCAACAAUAUUAGCAGUUUGUGUUCUCUUAUUGCGACUUUGCAAUUUCUUGCUGUGCGGCUUUAUAUUCCCUUACUCAUAUCAGUAGUAGCAGACAAUAUUACUACUCAUUUUAAUUCAAGAAUUAAAUUGUCAGACGAAAAUCAUUAAAAACACCCAGAAAACCAGCAACCAAAAAAAUAGCCGAAACAGGUGAAAAACAAAUAGUGAGAAUUACCACUAUUAGGAGUAGACAACCACUCACAGGAAAACACUACUACGUCCAAAAAAGUCACAACCAUGCAUUAAAAUAGAAACCACUGCGUAUAACCACCAGAAAAGCCCCACACGCCGUCGUACGCGCCGCCAUCAGAAUCUCACGUGCUGCCGCUGAAAUCAUCAUGCACCAUCGCCGGAACCACCACGAGAAGCCGUGAUUUGACCGGAAAACACCAAAGAUCUGUGGCGCGCUCAGAUCUGGAAUGGAUCUCGUAAAAUUUGUGCAGUAAACAUCGUGGAUCUGGCUUCACGCAACUGGCGACCGCCGCAGCUCUCUUCUUCACGCAGAUCUGGGUGUGCCGGGGACAGCUUGCCGCC